GUGCCAGCCGCCGCGGUAAAACGUAGGAGACAAACGUUAUCCGGAGUUACUGGGCGUAAAGGGCGUGUAGGUGGUAAUGUAAGUCUGGCGUGAAAUUUUUCGGCUUAACCGGGAAAGGUCGUCGGAGACUGCAUAACUAGAGGACGGUAGAGGCGUGUGGAAUUCCGGGUGUAGUGGUGAAAUGCGUAGAGAUCCGGAGGAACACCAGUGGCGAAGGCGACACGCUGGGCCGUACCUGACACUGAGGCGCGAUAGCAUGGGGAGCAAACAGGAUUAGAAACCCUGGUAGUCC
RNAcentral lists this ribosomal RNA (292 nucleotides) under uncultured bacterium. RNAcentral's name for it is "partial 16S ribosomal RNA". It matches the Rfam family "Bacterial small subunit ribosomal RNA", at positions 505 to 796 of the family's 1533-position model. The record is from RNAcentral.